GUGAGGGGUAGAGUAGACUGUAGGUAUGACAGGGGAACAGAGUGAGGGGUAGAGUAGACUGUAGGUAUGACAGGUAAACAGAGUGAGAUUUAGAGUAGACUGUAGGCAUGACAGGGAAACAGAGUGAGGGGUAGAGUAGACUGUAGGUAUGACAGGGGAACAGAGUGAGGGGGAGAGUAGACUGUAGGUAUGACAGGUAAACAGAGUGGGGGGUAGAGUAGACUGUAGGUAUGACAGGGAAACAGAGUGAGCUGUAGAGUAGACUGUAUGUAUGGCAGGGGAACAGAGUGGGGGGUAGAGUAGACUGUAUGUAUGACAGGGGAACAGAGUGAGAGGUAGAGUAGACUGUAGGUAUGACAGGGAAACAGAGUGAGGGGUAGAGUAGACUGUAGGUAUGACAGGGGAACAGAGUGAGAGGUAGAGUAGACUGUAGGUAUGACAGGUAAACAGAGUGAAAGGUAGAGUAGACUGUAGGUAUGACAGGGAAACAGAGUGAGGGGUAGAGUAGACUGUAGGUAUGACAGGGGAACAGAGUGAGAGGUAGAGUAGACUGUAGGUAUGACAGGUAAACAGAGUGAGAGGUAGAGUAGACUGUAGGUAUGACAGGGAAACAGAGUGAGAGGUAGAGUAGACUGUAUGUAUGGCAGGGGAACAGAGUGGGGGGUAGAGUAGACUGUAGGUAUGACAGGUAAACAGAGUGAGGGGUAGAGUAGACUGUAGGUAUGACAGGUAAACAGAGUGAGAGGUAGAGUAGACUAUAGGUAUGACAGGUAAACAGAGUGAGAGGCAGAGUAGACUGUAAGUAUGACAGGGGGACAGAGUGAGGGGUAGACUAGACUGUAUGUAUGACAGGGAAACAGAGUGAGAGGUAGAGUAGACUGUAGGUAUGACAGGGAAACAGAGUGAGGUGUAGAGUAGACUGUAUGUAUGGCAGGGGAACAGAGUGGGGGGUAGAGUAGACUGUAUGUAUGACAGGGGAACAGAGUGAGGGGUAGAGUAGACUGUAGGUAUGACAGGGGAACAGAGUGAGGGGUAGAGUAGACUGUAGGUAUGACAGGUAAACAGAGUGAGAUUUAGAGUAGACUGUAGGCAUGACAGGGAAACAGAGUGAGGGGUAGAGUAGACUGUAGGUAUGACAGGGGAACAGAG
Long non-coding RNA from Oncorhynchus keta (chum salmon), 1149 nucleotides. RefSeq lists it as uncharacterized. The transcript has 3 exons. Lineage: Eukaryota; Metazoa; Chordata; Actinopteri; Salmoniformes; Salmonidae. The record is from RefSeq and is a predicted model, not a curated record.